Molecule: small nuclear RNA, 104 nt
Filed under: Jaculus jaculus (lesser Egyptian jerboa)
Lineage: Eukaryota; Metazoa; Chordata; Mammalia; Rodentia; Dipodidae
Source: RNAcentral
CUGCUCGCUUUAGCAGCACAUAUACUAACAAUGAAAUGAUACAGAGAUGAGGCUGGCCUUGCUGCAAGGAUGAAGAGAAAAUUGAUGAAGUGUUUCCAAUUUAU